UACAGAGGGGGCAAGCGUUGUUCGGAAUUACUGGGCGUAAAGGGCGCGUAGGCGGCCUGCUAAGUCGAACGUGAAAUCCCUGGGCUCAACCCAGGAACUGCGUCCGAUACUGGUUGGCUUGAAUCCGGGAGAGGGAUGUGGAAUUCCAGGUGUAGCGGUGAAAUGCGUAGAUAUCUGGAGGAACACCGGCGGCGAAGGCGGCCAACUGGACGAUUACUGACGCUGAGACACGAAAGCGUGGGGAGCAAACAGG
This 253-nucleotide ribosomal RNA is filed under the name uncultured bacterium. RNAcentral's name for it is "partial 16S ribosomal RNA". It matches the Rfam family "Bacterial small subunit ribosomal RNA", at positions 524 to 776 of the family's 1533-position model. The record is from RNAcentral.